RNAcentral lists this ribosomal RNA (519 nucleotides) under uncultured eukaryote. Its description in RNAcentral is "bacterial SSU rRNA". It matches the Rfam family "Eukaryotic small subunit ribosomal RNA", at positions 1161 to 1647 of the family's 1831-position model. The record is from RNAcentral.
AGGGCACCACCAGGAGUGGAGCCUGCGGCUUAAUUUGACUCAACACGGGAAAACUCACCCGGCCCGGACACCGUAAGGAUUGACAGAUUGAUAGCUCUUUCAUGAUUCGGUGGUUGGUGGUGCAUGGCCGCUCUUAGUUCGUGGAUCGAUUUGUCUGGUUUAUUCCGAUAACGAGCGAGACUCUAGCCUACUAAAUAGUAAACGGGGAUUACUUUUUGGUCCCGGUUGCUUCUUAGAGGGGAUUUUUCGGGUGUUUUAGCCCGCAACGAGAUUUGAGCAAUUAACAAGUUCUGUGGGAUGCCCCUUUAGAUGUCCGGGGGCUGGCACCCGCCGCCCUACACUUGGCGAAAAUCUCAGCGGUGUCCGUGAUUCAUUUCUCCGGAAAGGGGAUAUUGGUAAAACCCCAAUGGAAAAUUUUGGCGUGUGCUUUGGGAUCUCGAAAAUUUGCGCAUUAUAUUUUCCCGUGAAACCAGAGAAUUUCAAGGUAAGUGUGCGCAGAUGUAUCUCACACUCUGCCUC